UACGUAGGGUGCGAGCGUUAAUCGGAAUUACUGGGCGUAAAGCGUGCGCAGGCGGUUCUCCAAGUCCGUUGUGAAAGCCCCGGGCUCAACCUGGGAAUGGCAGUGGAAACUAGGGGACUUGAAUCUGGCAGAGGGGGGUGGAAUUCCGCGUGUAGCAGUGAAAUGCGUAGAGAUGCGGAGGAACACCGAUGGUGAAGGCAGCCCCCUGGGCUAAUACUGACGCUGAGGCACGAAAGCGUGGGGAGCAAACAGG
This 253-nucleotide ribosomal RNA is filed under the name uncultured bacterium. Its description in RNAcentral is "partial 16S ribosomal RNA". It matches the Rfam family "Bacterial small subunit ribosomal RNA", at positions 524 to 776 of the family's 1533-position model. The record is from RNAcentral.